RNAcentral lists this small nuclear RNA (24 nucleotides) under Arabidopsis thaliana (thale cress). RNAcentral's name for it is "snRNA_09753". Lineage: Eukaryota; Viridiplantae; Streptophyta; Magnoliopsida; Brassicales; Brassicaceae. The record is from RNAcentral.
GUGGUUGCCACAGAGCCGAAGCAC